CGUCUCAGUUCGGAUUGUAGUCUGCAACUCGACAACAUGAAGCUGGAAUCGCUAGUAAUCGCGGAUCAGAAUGCCGCGGUGAAUACGUUCCCGGGUCUUGUACACACCGCCCGUCACACCAUGGGAGUCGGGAAUGCCCGAAGCCAGUGACCCAAGCGAGAGCAGGGAGCUGUCGAAGGCAGGCCGGAUAACUGGGGUGAAGUCGUAACAAGGUAUC
Molecule: ribosomal RNA, 217 nt
Filed under: uncultured bacterium
Lineage: Bacteria
Description: partial 16S ribosomal RNA
Rfam family: Bacterial small subunit ribosomal RNA
Source: RNAcentral